This 888-nucleotide ribosomal RNA is filed under the name Bipolaris cynodontis. RNAcentral describes it as "LSU rRNA". It matches the Rfam family "Eukaryotic large subunit ribosomal RNA", at positions 38 to 944 of the family's 3401-position model. The record is from RNAcentral. Lineage: Eukaryota; Fungi; Ascomycota; Dothideomycetes; Pleosporales; Pleosporaceae.
GCAUAUCAAUAAGCGGAGGAAAAGAAACCAACAGGGAUUGCCCUAGUAACGGCGAGUGAAGCGGCAACAGCUCAAAUUUGAAAUCUGGCUCUUUCAGAGUCCGAGUUGUAAUUUGCAGAGGGCGCUUUGGCUUUGGCAGCGGUCCAAGUUCCUUGGAACAGGACGUCACAGAGGGUGAGAAUCCCGUACGUGGUCGCUAGCUAUUGCCGUGUAAAGCCCCUUCGACGAGUCGAGUUGUUUGGGAAUGCAGCUCUAAAUGGGAGGUAAAUUUCUUCUAAAGCUAAAUAUUGGCCAGAGACCGAUAGCGCACAAGUAGAGUGAUCGAAAGAUGAAAAGCACUUUGGAAAGAGAGUCAAACAGCACGUGAAAUUGUUGAAAGGGAAGCGCUUGCAGCCAGACUUGCUUGCAGUUGCUCAUCCGGGCUUUUGCCCGGUGCACUCUUCUGUAGGCAGGCCAGCAUCAGUUUGGGCGGUGGGAUAAAGGUCUCUGUCACGUACCUCUCUUCGGGGAGGCCUUAUAGGGGAGACGACAUACCACCAGCCUAGACUGAGGUCCGCGCAUCUGCUAGGAUGCUGGCGUAAUGGCUGUAAGCGGCCCGUCUUGAAACACGGACCAAGGAGUCUAACAUCUAUGCGAGUGUUUGGGUGUCAAGCCCGAGCGCGUAAUGAAAGUGAACGGAGGUGGGAACCCGCAAGGGUGCACCAUCGACCGAUCCUGAAGUUUACGGAAGGAUUUGAGUAAGAGCAUGGCUGUUGGGACCCGAAAGAUGGUGAACUAUGCUUGAAUAGGGUGAAGCCAGAGGAACUCUGGUGGAGGCUCGCAGCGGUUUCUGACGUGCAAAUCGAUCGUCAAAUUUGGGCAUAGGGGCGAAAGACUAAUCGAACUAUC